RNAcentral lists this ribosomal RNA (498 nucleotides) under uncultured bacterium. Its description in RNAcentral is "partial 16S ribosomal RNA". It matches the Rfam family "Bacterial small subunit ribosomal RNA", at positions 28 to 507 of the family's 1533-position model. The record is from RNAcentral.
GACGAACGCUGGCGGCGUGCCUAAUACAUGCAAGUCGAACGAGAGCGACCGGUGCUUGCACUGGUCAAUCUAGUGGCGAACGGGUGAGUAACACGUGGGUAACCUGCCCAUCAGAGGGGGAUAACAUCCGGAAACGGAUGCUAAAACCGCAUAGGUCUUCGAGCCGCAUGGCUUGAAGAGGAAAAGAGGCGCAAGCUUCUGCUGAUGGAUGGACCCGCGGUGCAUUAGCUAGUUGGUGAGGUAACGGCUCACCAAGGCCGUGAUGCAUAGCCGACCUGAGAGGGUGGUCGGCCACAUUGGGACUGAGACACGGCCCAAACUCCUACGGGAGGCAGCAGUAGGGAAUCUUCCGCAAUGGACGCAAGUCUGACGGAGCAACGCCGCGUGAGUGAAGAAGGUGUUCGGAUCGUAAAACUCUGUUGUUAGAGAAGAACAAGUGCUAGAGUAACUGUUAGCGCCUUGACGGUAUCUAACCAGAAAGCCACGGCUAACUACGUG